This 467-nucleotide ribosomal RNA is filed under the name uncultured bacterium. Its description in RNAcentral is "partial 16S ribosomal RNA". It matches the Rfam family "Bacterial small subunit ribosomal RNA", at positions 28 to 507 of the family's 1533-position model. The record is from RNAcentral.
GACGAACGCUGGCGGCGUGCUUAACACAUGCAAGUCGAACGGAAAGGCACUAACUUCCUGGAGUAAUCGAGUGGCGAACGGGUGAGUAACACGUGGGUAAUGUGCCCUGCACUCUGGGAUAAGCCUGGGAAACUGGGUCUAAUACUGGACAUGAUCUUACCCCCUAUGGGGAGCGGUGGAAAGUUUUUCGGUGUAGGAUGAGCUGGCGGCCUAUCAGCUUGUUUGUGGGGUGAUGGACUACCAAGGCGACGACGGGUAGCCGGCCUGGGAGGGGGGACGGCCACAAUGGGACUGAGGUACGGCCCAGACUCCAACGGGGGGCAGCAGUGGGGAAUAUUGCACAAUGGGAGGAAGCCUGAUGCAGCGGCGCCGCGUGAGGGAUGACGGCUUUCGGGUUGUAAACCUCUUUCAGCAGGGACGAAGCGUAAGUGACGGUACCUGAAGAAGAAGCACCGGCUAACUAUGUG